UACGGGGGGGGCAAGCGUUGUUCGGAAUUACUGGGCGUAAAGGGCGCGUAGGCGGCCUUCUAAGUCGGACGUGAAAUCCCUCGGCUUAACCGAGGAACUGCGUCCGAUACUGAAAGGCUUGAAUUCGGGAGAGGGAUGCAGAAUUCCAGGUGUAGCGGUGAAAUGCGUAGAUAUCUGGAGGAAUACCGGUGGCGAAGGCGGCAUCCUGGACCGACAUUGACGCUGAGGAGCGAAAGCCAGGGGAGCAAACGGG
Molecule: ribosomal RNA, 253 nt
Filed under: uncultured bacterium
Lineage: Bacteria
Description: partial 16S ribosomal RNA
Rfam family: Bacterial small subunit ribosomal RNA
Source: RNAcentral